GGUUCUAUAGUAAAAGAAAUAACAUUAGAUUGCAAAUCUAGAGAUGUGUAAAUGCACUGGAACUU
RNAcentral lists this transfer RNA (65 nucleotides) under Austinograea alayseae. RNAcentral's name for it is "tRNA-Cys". It matches the Rfam family "tRNA". From Rfam's summary of the family: Transfer RNA (tRNA) molecules are approximately 80 nucleotides in length. The record is from RNAcentral. Lineage: Eukaryota; Metazoa; Arthropoda; Malacostraca; Decapoda; Bythograeidae.